AUUGAACGCUGGCGGCAGGCCUAACACAUGCAAGUCGAACGGUAGCACAGAGAGCUUGCUCUCGGGUGACGAGUGGCGGACGGGUGAGUAAUGUCUGGGAAACUGCCCGAUGGAGGGGGAUAACUACUGGAAACGGUAGCUAAUACCGCAUAACGUCGCAAGACCAAAGUGGGGGACCUUCGGGCCUCACACCAUCGGAUGUGCCCAGAUGGGAUUAGCUAGUAGGUGGGGUAAUGGCUCACCUAGGCGACGAUCCCUAGCUGGUCUGAGAGGAUGACCAGCAACACUGGAACUGAGACACGGUCCAGACUCCUACGGGAGGCAGCAGUGGGGAAUAUUGCACAAUGGGCGCAAGCCUGAUGCAGCCAUGCCGCGUGUAUGAAGAAGGCCUUCGGGUUGUAAAGUACUUUCAGCGGGGAGGAAGGCGGUGGAGUUAAUAACUUCACCGAUUGACGUUACCCGCAGAAGAAGCACCGGCUAACUCCGUGCCAGCAGCCGCCGUAA
Molecule: ribosomal RNA, 504 nt
Filed under: uncultured bacterium
Lineage: Bacteria
Description: partial 16S ribosomal RNA
Rfam family: Bacterial small subunit ribosomal RNA
Source: RNAcentral